This 21-nucleotide unclassified non-coding RNA is filed under the name Mus musculus (house mouse). RNAcentral describes it as "oocyte_clustered_small_RNA509". Lineage: Eukaryota; Metazoa; Chordata; Mammalia; Rodentia; Muridae. The record is from RNAcentral.
UGCCCCUGAUAAGGCAGUUGG